AACGCGAAGAACCUUACCUGGGCUUGACAUGUAAGUGGUAGGGACCCGAAAGGGAACCGACCGGGGUUUUCCCCUGGAGCUUACACAGGUGCUGCAUGGCUGUCGUCAGCUCGUGCCGUGAGGUGUAUGGUUAAGUCCCGCAACGAGCGCAACCCCUGUCCUUAGUUGCAAACCAGUGAUGGUGCACUCUAAGGAGACUGCCUCCGUCAAGGAGGAGGAAGGUGGGGAUAACGUCAAGUCAUCAUGGNCUUUAUGCCCAGGGCUACACACGUCCUACAGUGGCCGUUACAGUGGGUUGCUACAUCGCGAGGUGAUGCUAAUCCCAUAAAAGCGGCCAUGGUUCGGAUAGUAGGCUGCAACUCGCCUACUUGAAGAUGGAAUCGCUAGUAAUCACUGAUCAGCAUGCAGUGGUGAAUACGUUCCCGGGCCUUGUACACACCG
This 441-nucleotide ribosomal RNA is filed under the name uncultured bacterium SHE-137. Its description in RNAcentral is "bacterial SSU rRNA". It matches the Rfam family "Bacterial small subunit ribosomal RNA", at positions 958 to 1392 of the family's 1533-position model. The record is from RNAcentral.